Molecule: transfer-messenger RNA, 386 nt
Filed under: Ramlibacter sp.
Lineage: Bacteria; Pseudomonadati; Pseudomonadota; Betaproteobacteria; Burkholderiales; Comamonadaceae
Rfam family: transfer-messenger RNA
About the family: Bacterial tmRNA, also known as 10Sa RNA or SsrA, is named for its dual tRNA and mRNA-like properties. Its role is to liberate the mRNA from a stalled ribosome. To accomplish this part of the tmRNA is used as a reading frame that ends in a translation stop signal.
Source: RNAcentral
GGGGCUGCACCGGUUUCGACGUGGGUUCGGACGCGUGGCAGGGCAUGUCGAGCUGAAUGUGCUCGUAAAUCAGAUUCAAACAAACUAACUGCACACGACGAACGUUUCGCACUCGCCGCUUAAUUGCCGGUGAGCUUUGCAACAGCAGGCCUCUGGGCUGGGCAAGGGGUUUUUAGCGCAAGCUGAAAACUCCCGGCUGCAAAGAUAACUUCAGAGGCUGGUCUCUCGCCGGGUUACUUGGCGGGGGACGAGAAAAUAGGUAACUGGCGUUCUGUAUUGCGUGUCGCUGCGCGGUACAGGAGGCGAGACUUGAUCAGACGACUACACAUGUAGAACUGUACGAAGAAGGCUUGCGGACGCGGGUUCAAUUCCCGCCAGCUCCACCA